Monodelphis domestica (gray short-tailed opossum) is the source of this 1568-nucleotide long non-coding RNA. RefSeq lists it as uncharacterized. The record is from RefSeq and is a predicted model, not a curated record. NCBI's taxonomy places the organism in Eukaryota, Metazoa, Chordata, Mammalia, Didelphimorphia, Didelphidae.
GAUCUUUCAGCUAAUUUUUUCCCCUAGCCAUUCUAUCACCUCAUAAAUCCCAGUUAUGCUCCUGAGUUUGUGAGGAAGGAUGAAGGAUAUGUGGAAUUUUAGACCUAACUGGUGGAUUGGGUGGAUGGGGCAUGGGGCUUGUGUUUCUGCAGCACAGUUCUGAAAGGCUAGGCUUGUACCUGUGAGAAGAGAAGAUGGCAGAAUUAUAGAACAAAGGAGAAAUCUAUGAGAGUCCUUGGUUAAUUCUGUGCUGCCAUAGUUGGGGUAGGGGAGACUGGGGCCCUGGAAUAGAAAAUGAAGCUCCAUGAUUGCCCACCCCACCCCCACACUCUUGGUCCCCCUUUGAGUUGGAGGAAAAGUGUUGCUAGGCAACCCUGGAGUGGGAGAAACUUCAGCCAAUGAGAAUCCAAGAAUGAUCUGCAGAUACUUUCGCCAGAGACUAAGUGGCUCAUUAUACAGACCGGCAGAGAAGGCUUGUUGUUUUUAACUCUAUGGGUUCUGACACAGGUGACUGACAACUCUGAAGAACUUAAAGACCUAGGACUUUGAUCAGUGCCCUGUGAAUCCAGGGAUACCAGAGACCCUAAGAGUGAAGCAGGGUGCCCAUCUCUCUGGAGGAGAAAAUGGACUCAAGAUGCAGAAUGAGAUGAUUUUUGGAGGUGGCCAAUGUGGGAAAUCGUGUUACUGAUUUGAGAGGAGAAAAGACAAGCAAGUGAUAACAAGAAAACAAUUCAAGAUCUUAUGGAUGCUCUAGGACUUCUGAGUAAAGGAGAGAUAAAAAGUAGCUGAAGGCAGAUGCUUUGGAAAGAACACUGGAACAAAAGAAUAAAGAAAUAGAAGCAUUUAACAAGAUUUAUGAUUUUUUCUAUAUUUCAAAAAUUGUAAAAUUUACAAUAAUUUUAUUUGUAGCAAUUAAAAAUAUUUUCCCCAUUUACAUGUAAUAACAAUUUCAACAUUCAUGUUCCAAAAUUAUAAGAUCUAAAUCAUCUCCUUCACUCUCUACUCUUGGAGAUGGUAAGUAAUUUUAUCUGGGUUACACAUGUAUUAUUAUGCAAAACAUCAUUUGAUAUUGGCCAUUGCUGUAAGAGAAUACUCAUAUGAAACCAAAACCCCCCAAAUAAAAGCACAAAUAAACUAGUGUAAAAAAUAGUCUACUUUGAUCUGCAUUUCAACUUCAACAGUUCUUUCUCUGAAGGUGGAUAGUAUCCUCUGUCAUUGAUCCUUCAGAAUUGUCCACAAUUUGUUCAGCCAUUCCCCAAAGGAUGGACAUCCCCUCAAUUUCCAAUUCUUUGUUACCACAUAAAGGGUUGUUAUAGAUACUUCUGUACAAGUGGGUCCUUUCCCCCCUUUUUUGUUCUCCUUGGGAUAUAGACCUACUAGUAGUAUUUCAGGAUCAAAGGGUAUGCACAAUUUUAUAGCCCUUUGGUCAUAGUUCCAAAUUGCCCUAUAGUGUGUUUGGAUCAGUUCACAACUCCACCAACCAUGCAUGUGUCCCAAUUUUGCUAUAUCCCCUCCAAUAUUUAUCACUUUCCUUUACUGUCAUAUUGGCCAACCUGAUAAGUGUGAAG